RNAcentral lists this long non-coding RNA (294 nucleotides) under Gossypium barbadense (sea-island cotton). Its description in RNAcentral is "long non-coding RNA (GBAR_LNC019650)". Lineage: Eukaryota; Viridiplantae; Streptophyta; Magnoliopsida; Malvales; Malvaceae. The record is from RNAcentral.
UUGAAAAAGGGCUAAAUUGUGAAAGAUGGUAAAGUGUGCAUAAAGUUGUGAUUUUGUGAAAUUGAGGCCCGUUAUGAGCAUGAAAUAUGAUUUAGUGAAGUUUGAAAUUUAAGAAUUUAGAGAAUUUUAUUUUUACGAGCUUAGGGACAAAAGUAGAAUUUUUGAAAAGUUAUGGGGAAAAAUGUAAAUGUGUCAAAAUGUUGUGUAUGAAUUGUAUUUGAAUGGAAUAUUGAUAAAAUGUAUUAAAUUGUGUUAAUAUAGAUCAAGAAAGAAGAAAUAGUGCAAGUGAUCGGG